Molecule: long non-coding RNA, 9059 nt
Organism: Podarcis raffonei (Aeolian wall lizard)
Lineage: Eukaryota; Metazoa; Chordata; Lepidosauria; Squamata; Lacertidae
Exons: 5
Source: RefSeq, a predicted model, not a curated record
GAACGGCCGCUGCGUCGCCCUGCGCCGGCCUCCCAUUGGGCGCUCGAAGUAAGGAGGGGAAGAUGGCGGAGUGAGGGGGAAGGAAGGAGAGCGCCGUGGGCUGCGGCCCUGGGGCCUUAACUGAGGUCCAUGCAUGCACCAUCUUGAUUGGCAGUCAGAAUAAGAAAAUUAUCAGAAAGCUAAAGGCAAGAGUUCCUGGUUAUAAUUUAUGCAGCCAUAAAGCAAAAGGGGAAAACAUUCUUGUGGUUGCAGUCAAAGAAUCAGGAGUCAGAAAAUUACAGUAGUCUUAUGCAACAGUCCUUUCCUGUCGACCCAACACAGGCUGCUAAAGGAGCUUUGACGGCUUCUGGUGAAGAAAACUCCUUCCUUUAUCUCCAUGAGGAAAAAUGAAGAAGCACUGCUUAUUUUCUGCUCCACUCCUUAACAUGAAUUGGAGAUGUAACGCCUGUAUUAUAGAAAAAAUUCUACUGUCCUUUCAGAGCAACUGAAAUUAAUGGCUGACAUAUCACUGAAACAUGCAAACUUUUUGUUCAGAGUUUUUGCACUCUAUAAAUGAUUUUGCAUAUAGAUAGAGGCAUAACCCUAAUUAGAUUGGCAUUUCCCCCCUUUCAAACUACCUUGGUAAAAAAACUGCCUACUCUCAACAUAGCAUUUAGAGAAGUGAGCAAAUUGAUAUAUCCUUGGAACUUGUUACACAAACCUUUAAAGAAAAUAUUGUGCAGAAAUAAAAGGAUUUAUAGGUGUACUUAAAAUGAGGAAUAACUUCUUAAAAAGGAAAAAAAAGCUUGCGAAAUUGCUCUGCUGGAAUUUUUCUCCUUUUAAAAGGAGCCAAUUUAUAGGUGUCCACCUUGAUGCCAUUAUGUGAAGCAGUUGAAGCACAGUAGCAUUUAGUAAUUUUGUCACUGUUUUGAGUAGACUAUUAAAAAACAAAACUUGCAUAUAUAAAUUUACAUAAUUGCUGGAAAGGAGAGGUGAUCCUGUGAGUUGCUGCUUUUCUAGCAAGAUCCUUCCCAAGGGGUUGAAUUCUUGAAACCAAACCCAGGAGCAAUGGGUUUUACAUGGUAUCCUCAGUCUUCCUAGGGAAUUCAGCAACAAAAGGAAGAAUACCUUUUUCCAAGCUUUUACCCAAAGGCACCAACUGAUAGUGUAAAAUAUAUGUGAAAUUUCCCACCAGUUGGAUGAACAAAGACAACACAUGCUCAGAAAGGGCUUCUUCACUAAUUCUGUGGGUCACUGAAAGUUAAGGUGGAAAUUCUGUUUCUAACAUGUUUACAAAAUCUGCUUUGUCUCAAUUGCACAUGAUUCAUAUAGGACAUUUUCUUUAGCAUGGAAUAAUAGCUGAUUUAUUAGCCACACCUUGCAAGGGUAGAUUGAUUCCUGGUUUUUGAAAAGUCUCCCCCGCUUCCUUAUGCUGAAGCCCUCAGCACUGCACCUUCAGUCUUACUGAAAAUGUGAGUUUAAAAUCUGCCAAUGGCUUCAAAAUAUUUUCAAUCUGGGUAAAAAAAUGGGAGUGCAUGUUAUAAUGGUCAGUCUUGGUUAUUAACAUUUUCUAUGCUACUUGAUGUCUGGUUUGAGGUAGCAAUGGCAAUAUUUCCUGAGAUGGAAAACAGCGGCUGUUUGGGGUAUUUAAUAGUUUUGAAAGGAGCAUCCCAAGCUAAAUACUGGUAUUUGCUCAUCACUUAAUCUUAUGUUCCUUUUAUAUAAUAAAAGAUUCACAUAAAUACUUAGGAAAGCUUAUUCAGAUGCUUUCCUUAAUUCAAAUCAGUUUUUUUAAAUGGAAUGUUUAAUAGAAGAUUAUCAAACAGGUAAAUAUUUAUAACUACUGAACAUAAUCAGAUUUAUGACUUGGGUCAGCUUGCUGGGGGGGAAAUUGUCAUGGUUGUCAUUUAGAUUGGCUUUGAAGUAUACUUAAAUCCUAAUUCAAAUAGAAGUCCAGAAAUAAAAGUAGUUGGAUUUCCUUCUAGGUUCUUCUGAACAGGAAUUCCUGUUUAAUUUAUUGGGAUUUUAGAUAUAGGGUUAGGCUUCUUAGUGAAACAUUCUCUCAUUCUGGAACUGAAAAUUCAGAAGACAUCAAGUGUAGUGAUGAUUUGCUUCUAUGUCAGUAGACUAUAUGUUGUCUUCCUUACGUACUUCUCUGAUUUAAUUUGUAAAAGAAUAUGCUGGCACAGAGUGAAAAUGUUUAGUUUCCCUAAAUUGUCAGGAUAGAUAUAAGAGAAAGUGGCCAUAUCAGUUGCACAAAAUUCCAGCAAAGAACAACUCCCCCAUCCCUUUCCCUCAAGCUCCCCUGACAACAUGAGGACUCAGUUUAAAAUCUUGGAGAAACGAGUGCUGUACACGGCCCAAGAAACCUGUUUGUAGUACUUCUCCUGUAGCAUCUUAAAAGUACUGUGUCAAGGCAAUACUGCCUUAAUCUUUUUAUUUUACAUUUUGAUCUGCAUCUGUUCAUGUUGGCAGGAAAUCUUUCCCUUAUGAAAAACAAAUACCGGGCACGUGCAAUAGUAUAAUAUAUACAUAUAAAUAUAUUUUAAUACUUGUGGACAAAAUGUUACAAGUUGUUUGAGAACAACAAAAUCACCAAUGUCUUCCAUUUUGAGAUGUGUAUAGUUCCAUAAGCAUUAGUGCUUUGUAGCAAAACUGUAGUGCCAUGUUAGGAUCAGUGCAUGAGCCUAGUAGUACUUUUUUUACAAUUUCAGAGUGACAAAUUAACAAGGCUGAUGGUGUAAUUCAUAAGAAACUGACAAGAUUAUGGUCAUGGGCUAAGGAUGCAGUGUCCUUUCUAGGCAAUGAUAGCUUAUAUUGGUGAAUAAAAUCAGUAGCAUGAGGAGUGCAUGGAUCUUGAAUCUGUAAGCAGGUAGAAGUGCACCUCAAAGAAACUACAAUUGAAACAGUCCUUAACAAAUCCUUUUUUGAGCAAGUAAUAUUUUGCUACAAUGGGAAAAUUCACUGAUCUCUUGGACUAAGAAGUUUCACAGAUUUAAGUGUGCAUAAGGCUAAUCUUUGCCACAACAUGUUCUCGUAAAAUGUCCCUUCAUAUAUGAGUGUUCUCCAUUCAGAAGAGCCUAUAAACUUUUACUCAGUUACCCACUAGUUGCAUAUUUGCUCAUAAGUACCCUUAUGUUAGAGCAGCACAUCAUCUAUCAAGUUGAAAAAAUGACUAAAUUACAAAUAAUAACACUGCUACUGCUAUUCAAGAUUGAUAGUAUUCAUUUUUGAAAGCAAAUGAUUCUCAUUUUUCUACUUCCAUAGAAAGCACCUGAAGGAGUUGGCUGUUUUAAAAAAAUUUAAAUCAUUGCAGUACAACUAUUUGGGUCACUAAGAUGUCUCCCUGCUUAUAUUAUCAAUUUGCUUUUAGUUCAAAUAAGUGAGAUCAGCAAUUCAGGCACCUGAUUUUUCUGUGCAGAUCCUGUAGUCUGGACUGCUGUGAUUCUGUUUUUAGAAAACAACUACUUGUAGCUUAAAGAGGAUACUGCAUCUUUUUCUUGGUCUUGUCUGUAAAUGGCUACCUUGGUGAGGAAAAAAAUAUUUCUGGUUUUGGUUUACCAUUGGCUAAAAAUUCAUAGGAAACAUUUAAUUAACCACAAAACAAGAGAUCUAUGUUUAAAGAUCUCUGCCUAUUCUCCCUUGAAAUUUGGGAAGGUGGGUUGUUUACAAAUGAGCAGCGAGGACCUGAGCUCAGCAAAGGUUCUGUUGGAAAGAAAUGUAUCUGUCCCAUUGAAUGAAAUAGUUUUUAGUGCUUGGGAGAAUCAAUUGAUGGAAAAAUACCUCUGAAACUGGAAUGCAAAAUAGCACAGUAUGUAGGGGGAAAGAAUCCCUGAUGCAAAUGAAGCCAUAAGAUGACUUAAUCAAUAGAACUUUAGUAGCAAUAACUGUUUGCAUGUAAUAGGAACUACUUGCAUUAGCAAGUAUUGUAUAGUAGAAUAAAUGGUACUAACCAAAUAGGUUUGUGGUGCUCUGUGUUGCAGGGAGUUGCCUGACAUGAUGAGUUUCUCUUUAAAAUGUUAGGAAAUUCCUCAAAGGAAGUUGGCAUUUGAAUGCUUUAUUGAGGAGCCUGUUUAAAACUCCUGCAUAGCCCCCCCCCCAAUUGAUGCAACUAGGGCAGAAAUUUGUUGUGGUCGUGGGCUAAAUAUGCAGUGUGCAUGAGAAAGUGGAUGAACCCCUGUCCUCCAUGUCAAUAGAUAGCAUGUAGUUGAACUUCUGGUGUGAAAGGGAACUCUUCAGAGAUUGUGAACAGGGCCAGGUUCAACCUAAACAUGCAAUUUAGAUUUGAUUGUGGAAACUUGUUGCCAUUAUCUAAAGCUGGUUAGAUGUGUCAAAUUUUUGAGGAAUGUUGGCAAGGUACAAAGCAUCCUAACACCUAGCAAGUGUUGUGUCUCCUGAAAAUGUUCUUUUUCUCUUUAAAAAAACUUUUAAAAACUUGUAUGCCUGUUACGUGGUUUCACUCUUAAUUAUAAAAGCUACUUUUGAGUUUGGAAGCUUCUAUUCUAGAUGGGUAUGCCUGGCAAUCUUUUACCCUCACCACUCUAUAGAGUGCAGUUCAUACCUCUUUAAAAUGCAGCUUGCACUAACCUAGUAUGCAUGUAAGACCAUGUAAACUGUAAGCCUAAUAUGUAACUCUGCCUUAAACAGGAUUCAGCUGAAGUAGAACAGAUUCAUCUGCAAGGUUGGGAUGUAUACUUGAAGGCUUUACCUUUAUUGUUUUCCUUAAUUGCAAGGAGUUAUAUCCCAGCUGGUGUGUUUCUGCCAAUAGAAGGCUUUUGAAUAGGAAUCAAGGCUAUUUUGGGUAGUUCCCCUUCCCUCAACAGCUGCCCAUACUGUUCAAAGGGCCCACCAAUUCUCCAGGUCAGAUUUGAGUGGGAAGGAGGAAUCACUGAAGAGUGCCUCAACCCUUUUUCCACUGAUGGCUCCACUGUACUAAAGAGCCUUCCAUAAGCAGAAUAUGGCCAGAGGGUAGCCAGUAUCUAUCAUCAGUCUGAUUAACACAGCCACCUGUUCAAGUGGAUGGAAGAAGCCCAUAUUUUAAAAGUAGAAUUGAUAUAUAUUCUGUACAGAACAACCCCUAUAUAUUCAUACUGUAAUAUGAGCUUUACUAAUGGUUUCCAAAAUAAUGUUUGAAAUCUGAAUCAAGGAGACUCUCCUUUAUAUGUGAAAAAAUAGUCAACAAAAACCUGUGACUAUUUUGUUCACAUCACAAAAUAUACAAGGUACUUUUUACUGUUUUCAAACAAACAUGAUUCUAGGGCUAAGGAAAUUUGCACUUUGUUAACCAUUCUGAGCAAACUGGCAGAAUCUGAAAGGCAUAUCACGGCUAUGCCACCAGUAGGACUUGCUUUGCUCUAAAUUUAUUUUGAGUUGCUGGUUUGCAGAUACUUUUCAAUUUGCAAAACUGGUGCUUGACUGACAUAGUGCUGCUGCUACCCAAUUUAAUAAAUAAUGAACUUUUUAGCUUGGUAUCUGGAUGAGUAUGUGAGCUUCAUACAUGCAGGAUUUGCUGUUGUGGUGCUUAGUCAGAAACAUUUAGGAUGUGGUUAACUGUUUGAAGAUGCUUGGCUGUCUUGCAUAACCUCAUAAUGGAGAGCUUUGCUGCCUAGAUCUAUAGAAAUGAGGGGUUCUGUUACUCUCCAGAGCAGCCUUUGCCAGCCUGGUGCCCUCCAGAUGCUUUGUGCUGUAGGUCCCAUCAACCCCAGCAGCACAUCCAAAACAACUGGAGGACACCUGUGAGAGGCGGCUUCAACAAAUUGCACUUAAGCAGUUUGCACCUCAGUAGCUGUGGUAUUUAAACUGAAGGUUUAACACUGAAAUUUGUUUCCAUAAGCAGUUAAUGAGGGGAAAGAUCUUUCUAUGAAGUGGCUCUUCAUGGCACAUAAGCAGCACUUGGGGUAUACGUGUGGUUCCCCCACCACCACCUCGCCUUCCAUUUAUUCUCUUAACAGCCUUUAAUCUAUCAGUGGAGAACAGGAUUUCAUUCUAAGUAUAUUAGUGCCAUUCUUUAUGAAUGGUUGCAGGGGGCUCUUUUUAAUAGUCUUUCUCUAUUCUACAUGUGCACUAGUUUUUACGAUAAAAUCCCCCUUACUUGACUUCUCCCUUUUAGACCUUUUAUUCUUGCUUUGCACUUUGAAGAACAGUAAAUAUUGAGCAGUAGAAGUCCAAGCACAAUACAUGGGUGCCAAUAAAUGUAUUUUCCAAACAGGCUUCUGGGAUAUAGAUGGUAAGUUUGCAAGUGGUAGCGUUGGAUCUUUGCAACAGGAUUUGGAGGCCUAAGCUGAACUGAAUUUUUGUACCAUGCUUUAUUAAGUACUUGAAGAUUGAGGGUGGGGAUGGAGGAAGGACAAUGAGUUUAUGCCCUCACCCUGUACACAGAAAGGCAAUGAGUUCUCCCUGCCCUGAAAUGUAGAGGAAUGGUCAGCUAAGUGGUGCUCCCCAAAGACUGCAGGAAUCAAAGCUUAGUAGGGUCUCUGCUGAACAAAGAACUCAUUUGUAUGAAAGGACUCUUAUGACGGGAAUGUGGAAAACAAAAUACUAGAGAAUGAGAAUAUGUCCUGUGAUGGGGCAGGGGAGAAUGCCCCAAGGUGAAGAUUUCCUACAUAACUAGAUGAGAAGGAAGCAGGUUUAGAGCUGGAAGUUGGUUCUAUCUGAAGGGGGGGGGCAGGAUUAAAGCAUUCGAGUUUGAUCACUUGCUAGUUGGUUUUAGAUGGAAUUGUCAACUUUCCCUAAUUACAGCACAACGAACAUUCCACAGAGUUUAGCAUCUAAAUAGUUGCAACUUAUCUGUCCUCUGCCAUCUUUGACAAACCGUUGGAAGGCAGAUGAGGUUGUGAAACUCAAGUAUGGAAAACAUACAUGGAAAAUUGACAAUGGCACAAGCACAUAGGCUCACAAACCAAGUCUUUUAUAGAGGUAGUAUUCUAAUUAUGCAUGAUUAAGAUGUCUAGUGUUAUAGUUAUUACCAGUAAAUUGAUAUAUGCAUUUAUACAUAAUGAAGCAAUAGGAACUAAUAUACCAAUAGCUUGAACUUACUGCUUUGAUUCUCAGAUUUUGAUUUUAGAGAACAUUCUGUCUCUUUAAAGGAGGCAGAAUGUACAAAUAAGAGAAGCAUGACACCAAAACUGUGUAUUUGAAAGAAGAAUCAGCAGAAUGAGCCCUUUUGACCUCUUACCAGGUUCAUUGUGUUCCCUUGAGCCUACAUAAUAUAUGAGCAUGGUUGGUGGUAAGAUGGGUUUCUUGGCUGCUGCAAUUGUACAAAUAAAAAAGGUGCAGAGUUUCAGAGUACAGAGAAGGCACUAGAUGAACCCCAAAUAGGGCAAUAGCAAAACGUAUGUAGUAGGAUUUUUCAGGUAACAAGGAAGGAAGGAACCUGGAUCACAACCUGUUGGCUGCAAAUAAAUGAGAAUUUAGGUGAAUGAAAUCAUUAAGCAGUCCUUACUCUUCAGGUAUUGAGUUUAAAUGACAGGUUCUCCCCGCCAGGUAUCUCUCACCCUGUUAGGCAGCUAUACUAAGAUGAACUGGUUUCAGACCAGCAUUAAUACACCUUACAAUAACUAAUCUGAAAAUGGCAAAGUUUUGCUUUAGACACAAAGCAAGUUCAAGCUUGCUAAGUAGGAGUGGAGCUUGCUAACUAGAUUCAAGAGAGUAAAUGGCACCCCCAUAAAAAUUAUUGGUUUAGUUACAAAAAAAGUAAAAAGUGGGUGCAUUUAAUGGUAGAAUAUAUAUGCCGAAUACAUAUUAAAUAUUAAGUAGAGGAUGGUAGAAGCAUAGCCCUUGUAUCUAAACCUGGACUAGAAAAUUAUUUUCCUAAUGUGAAGGUACUGCUUAAAAUAAAGACUGAGUUUAAAGUUCCUUAACUAGAUUAUGGCUAUACUAGUUUCUGCAGAGCAAGUUACAAAUACUUCUUCAUAUCAAAGUUUGCUUUCUCCUCAUAGAUCUGAAAAAGGAUUUGUUAUGGCAAAUCUGCAUUUUAUGUUAGUGGUUAUUUUCCCAAUCAUUUAUUUUAAGCUUGUUAUAGAGGCCAUAUUUUUUACAUUGCCAGUCUCAGUAAUUCGUAGCUGCCAAAUAGAUGUAUGAAUAUUGGAGACGUGAGUGAAGGCUUGUAAUGACAUUAGUUUGACUUCCCCUCUGAUUUCAUGUUAACAUGAAAAGACUCCAUAGUAUUGUAUCACUGAAUUGUUUCCCCCAAACUCUGUCCCUCUUGUAGGUUGUGAUUUAGGUCUCUGCUAAUUUCUUCUUUCAGAGCAAAGAAAAGAUUGUCUUUGCAAAUGCAUAAGAUAACUGAUCAUAAUAAAAGGAUUGUGAAAGCUAGAGUCUGGGAAAAUGUACAGAAACAUUGUAUAAAUUUUAGAAGUAGGCUUACAUUUUGUUAACUCACUUGAACAAGCAGAACAGACAAGGAAGGUAUAUGCCACUGCAAACUAUUUACUCCCAUUGCACAAUUAUGUAACAAAUAUCACAAAUCUACCCCUGUAUAUAUCUGAAGAUUUCCAAAAGGCAGCUUGCUUUUAUAUCUAUGCAUCUUUUGGGGAGGGAAAGAGGGUGUUAAAAUUAUUCUUUUGACACUGUAAACAAUAAUUGUUCAAAACUGAACCUGGAAACUCUGCACCUGUAUACAAUUUUUUAGCAAUAAAGCAGCAUGGGCUGAGAAUGCACUUAAAAUGCCAUUGUGUCAUUUCUUCUAGGACGAACUCUUGAAACAAUAGAAAUGUAGAUUCACAUAUUUCAAAGUUUGCCUUCAUUGUGGAGCAGGAGAAAGAUGUUUAAUCAUUUCAAGCUUAUAUGAUUGCUGAGAAACCCCAGCAGCUUUUUAGUACACCUGAUCCACUUCAUACUCUCAUGUAUUUCUCAACAAUUAUGUGAUUGGUUGCCAUGUGUUUUGCAGUGCCUCUUCUCCCUCCUCUUCCCAAUACAGUGGUACCUCGGGUUACAUACGCUUCAGGUUACAGACUCCGCUAACCCAGAAAUAUUACAUCGGGUUAAGAACUUUGCUUCAGGAUGAGAACAGAAAUUGUGCUCCGGCAGCGCAGGAGGCCCCAUUAGCUAAAGUGGUGCUUCAGGUUAAGAACAGACCUCCG